RNAcentral lists this ribosomal RNA (433 nucleotides) under uncultured bacterium. RNAcentral describes it as "partial 16S ribosomal RNA". It matches the Rfam family "Bacterial small subunit ribosomal RNA", at positions 29 to 507 of the family's 1533-position model. The record is from RNAcentral.
AACGAACGCUGGCGGCAUGCCUAACACAUGCAAGUCGAACGAGACCUUCGGGUCUAGUGGCGCACGGGUGCGUAACGCGUGGGAACCUGCCCUUAGGUUCGGAAUAACUCCCCGAAAGGGGUGCUAAUACCGGAUAAUGUCUUCGGACCAAAGAUUUAUCGCCUUUGGAUGGGCCCGCGUUGGAUUAGCUAGUUGGUAGGGUAAAAGCCUACCAAGGCGACGAUCCAUAGCUGGUCUGAGAGGAUGAUCAGCCACACUGGGACUGAGACACGGCCCAGACUCCUACGGGAGGCAGCAGUGGGGAAUAUUGGACAAUGGGCGGAAGGCUGAUCCAGCAAUGCCGGGUGAGUGAUGAAGGCCUUAGGGUUGUAAAGCUCUUUUACCCGGGAUGAUAAUGACAGUACCGGGAGAAUAAGCUCCGGCUAACUCCGUG